RNAcentral lists this transfer RNA (66 nucleotides) under Enchytraeus irregularis. RNAcentral's name for it is "tRNA-Pro". Lineage: Eukaryota; Metazoa; Annelida; Clitellata; Enchytraeida; Enchytraeidae. The record is from RNAcentral.
CAGUUUAUAGUUUAACUACUAAAAUAAUGACUUUGGGUGUCAUUGAUCUUAUUCUAAGUAAACUGA